RNAcentral lists this ribosomal RNA (348 nucleotides) under Klebsiella oxytoca. RNAcentral's name for it is "partial 23S ribosomal RNA". It matches the Rfam family "Bacterial large subunit ribosomal RNA", at positions 374 to 728 of the family's 2925-position model. The record is from RNAcentral. Lineage: Bacteria; Pseudomonadati; Pseudomonadota; Gammaproteobacteria; Enterobacterales; Enterobacteriaceae.
CGUACACUAAAACACACAGGUUGUGAACUCGAAGAGUAGGGCGGGACACGUGGUAUCCUGUCUGAAUAUGGGGGGACCAUCCUCCAAGGCUAAAUACUCCUGACUGACCGAUAGUGAACCAGUACCGUGAGGGAAAGGCGAAAAGAACCCCGGCGAGGGGAGUGAAAAAGAACCUGAAACCGUGUACGUACAAGCAGUAGGAGCCCACUAGUUGGGUGACUGCGUACCUUUUGUAUAAUGGGUCAGCGACUUAUAUUCUGUAGCAAGGUUAACCGAAUAGGGGAGCCGCAGGGAAACCGAGUCUUAACUGGGCGUUAAGUUGCAGGGUAUAGACCCGAAACCCGGUGA